Papaver somniferum (opium poppy) is the source of this 633-nucleotide long non-coding RNA. RefSeq lists it as uncharacterized. The record is from RefSeq and is a predicted model, not a curated record. NCBI's taxonomy places the organism in Eukaryota, Viridiplantae, Streptophyta, Magnoliopsida, Ranunculales, Papaveraceae. The transcript has 3 exons.
GUUUUCAUGAUUUAGUGCAGUUUUAUAUUUUAGUUUCUAUCGAGAAACGUCUUCAUCUCCCAACAAACUCGUCUCUCUCCCUCUUUUAAUCUGUUAAAGAAGAAGGAGGAGUUUAUUGAAGGAGCCACCGGGAAUCGACUGAGUGUUACAGUGGGAGUUAUGAGCCUUGUUCUAGUCUUCUGGUUUAGUCCAUAAAAAGAAUCUUGUAAAGGAACUGACCACCUGCCAAUACCUUACCCAUUCAUGUGUUCCUUUCUCUCAAGACUUUUCGUAUUGUGUAAUAUGCCGAGCAUCAUCCAGUGAGCUAAAAUGUUCCAAAUUUCAACAAAUAAAGUUGAUAUUUCUUUUUCGUAUUACAGGAAGACCUUCUUCCUACCUACCAGUACUUUCGUCAAGCAUCACAUCAGCAAUAAUAUAUAGUGCUUUUGCAGACACAUUUUCUGUGCCGAAGAACUCUUCACAUAUUAGUACAUUUAACAAACGAAGAUUUUGUGUGUAAACAUCGUGUUAGAUCAAGCUCGGAUUAUGUUGUAUCAUCAUUUGGAACUAUGUAACUUCCCCGUGGAUUUAUAAUUUAAAUUUUUCUUAUUCGAAAUAUUAAGUUCUUAUAUAUAUAAUAUUUGUGACUUGUCA